UAGUAUGGGGAUCUGCCCGAUAGAGGGGGGUAACUACUGGAAACGGUGGCUAAUACCGCAUAAUGUCUACGGACCAAAGCAGGGGCUCUUCGGACCUUGCACUAUCGGAUGAGCCCAUAUGGGAUUAGCUAGUAGGUGGGGUAAAGGCUCACCUAGGCGACGAUCUCUAGCUGGUCUGAGAGGAUGAUCAGCCACACUGGGACUGAGACGCGGCCCAG
Molecule: ribosomal RNA, 218 nt
Filed under: uncultured bacterium
Lineage: Bacteria
Description: partial 16S ribosomal RNA
Rfam family: Bacterial small subunit ribosomal RNA
Source: RNAcentral